This 350-nucleotide ribosomal RNA is filed under the name uncultured bacterium. RNAcentral's name for it is "partial 16S ribosomal RNA". It matches the Rfam family "Bacterial small subunit ribosomal RNA", at positions 355 to 722 of the family's 1533-position model. The record is from RNAcentral.
UGGGGAAUAUUGGACAAUGGGCGCAAGCCUGAUCCAGCCAUGCCGCGUGAGUGAUGAAGGCCUUAGGGUUGUAAAGCUCUUCGCCGGUGAAGAUAAUGACGGUAACCGGAGAAGAAGCCCCGGCCAACUUCGUGCCAGCAGCCGCGGUAAUACGAAGGGGGCUAGCGUUGCUCGGAAUCACUGGGGCGUAAAGCGCACGUAGGCGGAUCGUUAAGUCAGGGGUGAAAUCCUGGAGNUCAACUCCAGAACUGCCCUUGAUACUGGCGAUCUCGAGUUCGAGAGAGGUUGGUGGAACUCCGAGUGUAGAGGUGAAAUUCGUAGAUAUUCGGAAGAACACCAGUGGCGAAGGC